RNAcentral lists this ribosomal RNA (594 nucleotides) under Archaeoglobus fulgidus. RNAcentral's name for it is "bacterial SSU rRNA". It matches the Rfam family "Archaeal small subunit ribosomal RNA", at positions 1 to 579 of the family's 1478-position model. The record is from RNAcentral. Lineage: Archaea; Methanobacteriati; Methanobacteriota; Archaeoglobi; Archaeoglobales; Archaeoglobaceae.
CAAUUCUGGUUGAUCCUGCCAGAGGCCGCUGCUAUCCGGCUGGGACUAAGCCAUGCGAGUCAAGGGGCUUGUAUCCCUUCGGGGAUGCAAGCACCGGCGGACGGCUCAGUAACACGUGGACAACCUGCCCUCGGGUGGGGGAUAACCCCGGGAAACUGGGGCUAAUCCCCCAUAGGGGAUGGGUACUGGAAUGUCCCAUCUCCGAAAGCGCUCAGCGCCCGAGGAUGGGUCUGCGGCGGAUUAGGUUGUUGGUGGGGUAACGGCCCACCAAGCCGAAGAUCCGUACGGGCCAUGGGAGUGGGAGCCCGGAGAUGGACCCUGAGACACGGGUCCAGGCCCUACGGGGCGCAGCAGGCGCGAAACCUCCGCAAUGCGGGAAACCGCGACGGGGUCAGCCGGAGUGCUCGCGCAUCGCGCGGGCUGUCGGGGUGCCUAAAAAGCACCCCAUAGCAAGGGCCGGGCAAGGCCGGUGGCAGCCGCCGCGGUAAUACCGGCGGCCCGAGUGGCGGCCACUNUUAUUGGGCCUAAAGCGUCCGUAGCCGGGCUGGUAAGUCCUCCGGGAAAUCUGGUCGCUCAACGAUCAGACUUCCGGGA